Molecule: ribosomal RNA, 327 nt
Filed under: uncultured eukaryote
Lineage: Eukaryota
Description: partial 18S ribosomal RNA
Rfam family: Eukaryotic small subunit ribosomal RNA
Source: RNAcentral
CCCUUAGAUGUUCUGGGCCGCACGCGCGCUACACUGAUUCAUGCAACAAGUUUUGUCCUUGGCUGAUAGGCCUGGGUAAUCUUUGAACGUGAAUCGUGAUGGGGAUAGAUGAUUGCAAUUAUUCAUCUUCAACGAGGAAUUCCUAGUAAACGCAAGUCAUCAGCUUGCAUUGAUUACGUCCCUGCCCUUUGUACACACCGCCCGUCGCACCUACCGAUUGAAUGGUCCGGUGAAAUCUUCGGAUCUGAGAGAUGUCUGAUUAAUUUCGGACGCCUUUUGGAAAAGUUGCUUAAGCCUUACCAUUUAGAGGAAGGUGAAGUCGUAACA